UGAGUAACCUGCCCUUAACUCUGGGAUAAGCCUGGGAAACUGGGUCUAAUACCGGAUAUGACUCCUCAUCGCAUGGGUGGGGGGUGGAAAGCUUUAUUGUGGUUUUGGAUGGACUCGCGGCCUAUCAGCCUGUUGGUGAGGUAAUGGCUCACCAAGGCGACGACGGGUAGCCGGCUGAGAGGGUGACCGGCCACACGUGGGACUGAGACACGGCCCAGACCUCCGUACGGGGAGGCAG
This 238-nucleotide ribosomal RNA is filed under the name uncultured bacterium. RNAcentral describes it as "partial 16S ribosomal RNA". It matches the Rfam family "Bacterial small subunit ribosomal RNA", at positions 118 to 351 of the family's 1533-position model. The record is from RNAcentral.